This 311-nucleotide unclassified non-coding RNA is filed under the name oat root associated basidiomycete 00026. RNAcentral describes it as "sequence contains 5.8S rRNA gene". The stretch from base 1 to 53 matches the Rfam family "5.8S ribosomal RNA", at positions 102 to 154 of the family's 154-position model. Lineage: Eukaryota; Fungi; Basidiomycota. The record is from RNAcentral.
GAACGCACCUUGCGCUCCUUGGUAUUCCGAGGAGCAUGCCUGUUUGAGUGUCAUUAAAUUCUCAACCUCACCCAUUUUGUCAUGAGAUGGUUUGUGUAGGCUUGGAUGUGGAGGCUUUGCAGGUCCACUCUUUUGUGGUCUGCUCCUCUGAAAUGCAUUAGUGGGUUUCGCCCCUAAAUCUAUUGGUGUGAUAAUUAUCUACGCCGUUGAUCUAGGUUUGGCAAUACAAAGAACCUGCUGACAACUGUCCGUCUCGGACAAUCUCUGACGACUUGACCUCAAAUCGAGUAAGACUACCCGCUGAACUUAAG